UACGUAGGUGGCAAGCGUUGUCCGGAUUUACUGGGUGUAAAGGGCGUGCAGCCGGAGAGACAAGUCAGAUGUGAAAUCCACGGGCUCAACUCGUGAACUGCAUUUGAAACUGUUUCCCCUGAGUGUCGGAGAGGUAAUCGGAAUUCCUUGUGUAGCGGUGAAAUGCGUAGAUAUAAGGAAGAACACCAGUGGCGAAGGCGGAUUACUGGACGAUAACUGACGGUGAGGCGCGAAAGCGUGGGGAGCAAACAGG
This 253-nucleotide ribosomal RNA is filed under the name uncultured bacterium. Its description in RNAcentral is "partial 16S ribosomal RNA". It matches the Rfam family "Bacterial small subunit ribosomal RNA", at positions 524 to 776 of the family's 1533-position model. The record is from RNAcentral.